RNAcentral lists this ribosomal RNA (484 nucleotides) under uncultured bacterium. Its description in RNAcentral is "partial 16S ribosomal RNA". It matches the Rfam family "Bacterial small subunit ribosomal RNA", at positions 30 to 507 of the family's 1533-position model. The record is from RNAcentral.
AUUGAACGCUGGCGGCAGGCCUAACACAUGCAAGUCGAGCGGAUGAAGGGAGCUUGCUCCUGGAUUCAGCGGCGGACGGGUGAGUAAUGCCUAGGAAUCUGCCUGGUAGUGGGGGAUAACGUCCGGAAACGGGCGCUAAUACCGCAUACGUCCUGAGGAAGAAAGUGGGGGAUCUUCGGACCUCACGCUAUCAGAUGAACCUAGGUCGGAUUAGCUAGUUGGUGGGGUAAAGGCCUACCAAGGCGACGAUCCGUAACUGGUCUGAGAGGAUGAUCAGUCACACUGGAACUGAGACACGGUCCAGACUCCUACGGGAGGCAGCAGUGGGGAAUAUUGGACAAUGGGCGAAAGCCUGAUCCAGCCAUGCCGCGUGUGUGAAGAAGGUCUUCGGAUUGUAAAGCACUUUAAGUUGGGAGGAAGGGCAGUAAGUUAAUACCUUGCUGUUUUGACGGUACCAACAGAAUAAGCACCGGCUAACUUCGUG